Molecule: transfer RNA, 17 nt
Filed under: Brachythecium rutabulum
Lineage: Eukaryota; Viridiplantae; Streptophyta; Bryopsida; Hypnales; Brachytheciaceae
Also listed under: 4 other names
Description: partial tRNA-Phe
Source: RNAcentral
AAAAAGGCCGGAAUAGC